RNAcentral lists this long non-coding RNA (628 nucleotides) under Homo sapiens (human). RNAcentral's name for it is "HSALNT0249558". Lineage: Eukaryota; Metazoa; Chordata; Mammalia; Primates; Hominidae. The record is from RNAcentral.
GCGAGAGGGAGUUCCCACCCGUGGCUUUCUUAGAGAAAUGAAGUCUUAAGUCUUAAAUAGACAACAAGGAGGGGCCGAUCGGUGUCUUUUGGACGCGUCUGGAGCCCCUCCCUCCGCCAAAGGAAAAGCCCCUUGGAUGAGAGGCAGGCGCUUCAGAGAAGCUAAGAAAAGCACCUCUCCGCGCGCCCCACCUCCUCCGCCUCGCGCUCCUCCUGAGCAGCGGGCCCAGACUGCGCUCCGGCCGCGGCCCUCGCCCCGCGGAGCCCUCCUACCCCGGCCCGACGCUCGGCCCGCGACCUGCCCCGAGCCCUCUCCAUGGAGGCAGCCCGCCCCUCCGGCUCCUGGAACGGAGCCCUCUGCCGGCUGCUCCUGCUGACCCUCGCGAUCUUAAUAUUUGCCAGUGAUGCCUGCAAAAAUGUGACAUUACAUGUUCCCUCCAAACUAGAUGCCGAGAAACUUGUUGGUAGAGUUAACCUGAAAGAGUGCUUUACAGCUGCAAAUCUAAUUCAUUCAAGUGAUCCUGACUUCCAAAUUUUGGAGGAUGGUUCAGUCUAUACAACAAAUACUAUUCUAUUGUCCUCGGAGAAGAGAAGUUUUACCAUAUUACUUUCCAACACUGAGAACCAAG